GAUGAAGAACGUAGCGAAAUGCGAUAAGUAAUGUGAAUUGCAGAAUUCAGUGAAUCAUCGAAUCUUUGAACGCACAUUGCGCCCGCCAGUAUUCUGGCGGGCAUGCCUGUUCGAGCGUCAUUUCAACCAUCAAGCCCCCGGCUUGUGUUGGGGACCUGCGGCUGCCGCAGGCCCUGAAAACCAGUGGCGGGCUCGCUAGUCACUCCGAGCGUAGUAAUACAUCUCGCUCAGGGCGUGCUGCGGGUUCCGGCCGUUAAAAAAGCCUUAUUUACCCAAGGUUGACCUCGGAUCAGGUAGGAAGACCCGCUGAACUUAAGCAUAUCAAUAAGCGGAGGA
This 336-nucleotide unclassified non-coding RNA is filed under the name soil metagenome. RNAcentral's name for it is "partial contains 5.8S ribosomal RNA, internal transcribed spacer 2, and large subunit ribosomal RNA". The stretch from base 1 to 120 matches the Rfam family "5.8S ribosomal RNA", at positions 35 to 154 of the family's 154-position model. The record is from RNAcentral.